Long non-coding RNA from Dioscorea cayenensis subsp. rotundata (Guinea yam), 993 nucleotides. RefSeq lists it as uncharacterized. The record is from RefSeq and is a predicted model, not a curated record. Lineage: Eukaryota; Viridiplantae; Streptophyta; Magnoliopsida; Dioscoreales; Dioscoreaceae. The transcript has 3 exons.
AUUGGUGGGAUUGAGAAUCUUUUCCUUGAAAAAGACCAUUUUGCCUUCUGUUUAGAUUUUUUUCCCAAAACAUGUUUUUUUUUCUCCUUUACUUUAUUCUCCAUCUAGUCUGAUUGUCUGAAGCCAUACUUUCUCCUCCAUCUCUUCUGACCUAACCCCUGUAAUCCUCUCCAUCUAGAUCCGGUGAUGAUUGUGUAAAGCCACGUUCCAAAGGAAGCCUCCCAUAUCAUAUCUGUUCAAGUGUGUUUGGUUUAAAAAGAGAAUCACAAGGAAGCAGCGGGACUUUAUAGAAAAUCUUUUCCAUUCUUUAAUGACCUUGCCCCCAUUUUCAAAAAGGACAGAGCACAAGGUAAUGCAAGGAGUGAUCUCCAAGAUGAUGCAAACCAAUAUUUACAUGAAAACAUUAGCCUAAAUGAGAAUAUAGAUUUUUCACAAAUUCCAAGUGAAGAUUUUUUUUUUCCCCAUCGAUAAACCUAUUGGCUCAUCAUCUCCUACUGCUUCAAAUGAUAAUGCCUCAAGUUCUGGACGUCAAAAGAGGAAAAAUCGUGCUAAGGAACAAAUAUUGCAGCAAUUUCUAAAAAUUUUUAGCAAUUUGUGGAAAUGGUUGGACCAAGAUUUAAGACGAUGCCUAAAUGUGCAAUCCCCAAUGCUGAAGCCAACGCACUCAAGGAAGCAGCUCAUAGAGAUGUUCAAGAAAAGAAGAAAUUAUUGAGUAAUGUAAUUUUCAAUGUUGAUGGACUUUUUGAAGAUGAGGCAUUAGUGGUAUUGCAAGCUUUACGGAAAGAUGAAGAUGAGUUGAACAUAUUUUGGGACUUAGAAGAUGAUAAGAAGAUGCAUUUCUGUCAUUUAAUACUAGGAAGAAUGUGAUAUUACAUACCUAAUAUCAUGGACUUUCUCAUAUUUUGUUUCAAGGACUUUCUCUUAUUUUGUUCAACUUUAAGACAUUAGCAUAUUACUGGUUUGUAUGCUCUAGUUUGUAUGUUCAAGAAACAU